This 301-nucleotide ribosomal RNA is filed under the name uncultured bacterium. RNAcentral describes it as "partial 16S ribosomal RNA". It matches the Rfam family "Bacterial small subunit ribosomal RNA", at positions 509 to 807 of the family's 1533-position model. The record is from RNAcentral.
CAGUCGCCACGGUAAUACGAAGGGUGCAAGCGUUACUCGGAAUUACUGGGCGUAAAGCGUGCGUAGGUGGUGGUUUAAGUCCGUUGUGAAAGCCCUGGGCUCAACCUGGGAAUUGCAGUGGAUACUGGGUCACUAGAGUGUGGUAGAGGAUAGUGGAAUUUCCGGUGUAGCAGUGAAAUGCGUAGAGAUCGGAAGGAACAUCUGUGGCGAAGGCGGCCAUCUGGGACAACACUGACGCUGAGGCACGAAAGCGUGGGGAGCAAACAGGAUUAGAGACCCGUGUAGUCCCUGUCUCUUAUAC